RNAcentral lists this long non-coding RNA (321 nucleotides) under Mus spicilegus (steppe mouse). RNAcentral's name for it is "lncRNA (ENSMSIG00000019960.1)". The record is from RNAcentral. Lineage: Eukaryota; Metazoa; Chordata; Mammalia; Rodentia; Muridae.
AAAGUCCUCAGUUCACCUUUAGGGCAUAGCCUGCUCAGCCCCUACCCCCCACGACCCCUUAUAAGAGGACAGUGAGCAAAAGAGGAUCCUUCCUGAUGCCAAGAGUGUAUGAUGUUCCAUCACAAAAGGUUCUUAUGAUGCAACCAUUACAGAGAAGUACCUGAGAGCCUUUUGUGCUUGUGUGGAUUUACUUGCAAUGGAUCUCUUAUGCAAAAUACCUUUCCCUUCUCUGCCAGCUCCUCCAGGCAAUCAGGAAGAUACAGGCUUUUACUCAACAUGCUAACCAUGGCACGACCUGAUUUCUGGUGGCUAUCAACAUAA